UCAGGAUGAACGCUAGCUACAGGCUUAACACAUGCAAGUCGAGGGCAGCGAGAAGAAAGCUUGCUUCGUUGUCGGCGACCGGCGCACGGGUGAGUAACGCGUAUCCAACCUUCCCCUUAGUAGAGGAUAGCCCGGCGAAAGUCGGAUUAAUACUCUAUGUUAUUCGUAGAUGACAUCUGAAGUGAAUCAAAGGUUUACCGCUAAGGGAUGGGGAUGCGUCUGAUUAGGUUGUUGGCGGGGUAACGGCCCACCAAGCCGACGAUCAGUAGGGGUUCUGAGAGGAAGGCCCCCCACAUUGGAACUGAGACACGGUCCAAACUCCUACGGGAGGCAGCAGUGAGGAAUAUUGGUCAAUGGACGGAAGUCUGAACCAGCCAAGUAGCCGUGCAGGAUGACGGCCCUAUGGGUUGUAAACUGCUUUUGUAUGGGAAUAAAGUGCGGGACGUGUCCCGUUUUGUAUGUACCAUAAGAAUAAGGACCGGCUAAUUCCGUGCCAGCCGCUGC
This 504-nucleotide ribosomal RNA is filed under the name uncultured bacterium. RNAcentral's name for it is "bacterial SSU rRNA". It matches the Rfam family "Bacterial small subunit ribosomal RNA", at positions 24 to 518 of the family's 1533-position model. The record is from RNAcentral.